This 426-nucleotide ribosomal RNA is filed under the name Boana albopunctatus group sp. ABGD cluster 10. Its description in RNAcentral is "partial large subunit ribosomal RNA". It matches the Rfam family "Bacterial large subunit ribosomal RNA", at positions 1834 to 2447 of the family's 2925-position model. Lineage: Eukaryota; Metazoa; Chordata; Amphibia; Anura; Hylidae. The record is from RNAcentral.
CUUGAUUAAAUAUAAGAGGUCCAGCCUGCCCAGUGACCUAGUUCAACGGCCGCGGUAUCCUAACCGUGCGAAGGUAGCGUAAUCACUUGUUCUUUAAAUGAGGACUAGUAUGAAUGGCACCACGAGGGUUAAGCUGUCUCCUUUUUCUAAUCAGUGAAACUAAUCUCCCCGUGAAGAAGCGGGGAUUACCUUAUAAGACGAGAAGACCCUAUGGAGCUUAAAACAAAUUAACACCUGCUUCUAUCUAUUUUUGUUCCUGAACUGACACAUAAAAUAUAGCACUAUUGAUUAAUAGUUUUCGAUUGGGGUGAUCAUGGAGUAAAAACCAACCUCCACGACGAAAAGGACCACUUCCCUGAGCUAAAAGCUACAACUUUAAGCACUAAAAAAUUAACGCAAUUUGACCCAAAUUUUUGAGCAACGAAC